UGUCAUUUGUGCCGCAACUGCGAACUUCUCUGGCUUGAUCAUUGAGAAACAGGGAACCAGCUCCAGGAAUAUCAGAUUGACUCAAGAGGGGAAUCGCAGUGAAGCGACGAGGGAUAAAGUGAACUUGUGAAUCAAGGAGGAAGAACUAGAAUGUGAAUUUGAAGAAGUGCAGAAGGUUCACUGUAUGAUUUUGAUUCUGUGUAUCAAAAUCCAAUUCAAAGAAAAAGAUCCAUGAUCAAAGGCCAAUGGAAAUCAGCAGCAAGAAGCCUGUUGGCAGGUUUAGGGAGGUUAUUCAAGCACUUAAAAGGGUUCAGGAAGAGAUAUAGUUUCUUAUUUGAGACAGGAUUUCCUGCUGAGACCUGAGAGAAAGAUGAUUCCCUUGGCAGUAGUAUGCUGAUCCAUUUGGAGGGAGAGAAAUGGAAGGCCCUUUGAAGUCUUUCAUCUCCAGUUGAGAAGAUUUGUGGAAAGGUAGAAAGGCUGAUAACAGAUGAGCUUCAGUCAGCAGUGCUUUCAUAGGGUUUACCACCGUAUACUUUGGGUUAGUGACACUUAGCCCCCUGAACUUUCAUUUGCAACAAAGACCCCCUGAGCUUUUAGAUUCUAACAUCCCCCCCCCCAUUAGCAUUGCAUCAGUUAACUUCAAAAAAAAAAAAAGAUUCGCAUUUGACUGUUAUGUGCUUGUUAAACAUUUCUAAAUCCCCAAACUACCCUUAAUUUGUUGGACCAUUUUGCUCUCCUUUACAUGCUUGUGUAUGUAUGUUUCUUGCUUCUUUCUCAUAGUCAAAUGAGCAAAGCAUAGAUCAAUUUAAUUAUCAAUGAAGGUGAGAUCAACUGGUUUUCCCUA
This is a long non-coding RNA of Nelumbo nucifera (sacred lotus), 844 nucleotides long. RefSeq lists it as uncharacterized. NCBI's taxonomy places the organism in Eukaryota, Viridiplantae, Streptophyta, Magnoliopsida, Proteales, Nelumbonaceae. The record is from RefSeq and is a predicted model, not a curated record.